GCUCCGUUGGUGAACCAGCGGAGGGAUCAUUAUCGAGUUUAUAACUCCCAAACCCUAUGUGAACUUACCACUUGUUGCUUCGGCGCGCGCUUCGGUGCCGCCGAGGACACUUAAACUCUUUGUUUUUAUAAGCAUUUCUGAGUGGCCGAAAGGCAAAAUACAAAUGAAUCAAAACUUCCAACAACGGAUCUCUUGGUUCUG
RNAcentral lists this unclassified non-coding RNA (201 nucleotides) under plant metagenome. Its description in RNAcentral is "partial contains small subunit ribosomal RNA, internal transcribed spacer 1, and 5.8S ribosomal RNA". The record is from RNAcentral.